RNAcentral lists this ribosomal RNA (828 nucleotides) under Triticum aestivum (bread wheat). RNAcentral describes it as "partial small subunit ribosomal RNA". Lineage: Eukaryota; Viridiplantae; Streptophyta; Magnoliopsida; Poales; Poaceae. The record is from RNAcentral.
AUGACCUCCUGCUCCAGCUGCUCGUCCCGCCACCAGCAGCGCCUGCCUGCCUCGGCCUCCCGCGCAACAUUCUGAUGCAGAGGCCGGGGGUUAUCCUCCUUUUCAAAAAAAGUUAAAUACUCAACUUGUAAAGGAACAACAAUUGACCAUAACAAUAUUGUCAUUCUUGCUUUGACAGAGAAAAUGGAUCUCCCAGACCUCAACUUCACUCCACCUGCAGAAGAUGUGGAUGGAAUGGAUGAAGAUGCAGAAAAUGAAAUGGAAGGACAUGUAGGAAAUGAUAUGGAAGGAGAUGCCGGAGAGGGAAUGGAAGGAGAUGAAAUUGUUCAAAAUCCAGGUGUUUUGGAGGAAUUUGAAGGCUAUGAUGUUUACAAGCUCAACAGAAUUUUCCUAACUCUACAAAUGUGCAUGAUUGAGAUCAUGAACCAUGCGGGGGGAAAUGGGUAUAAAAUACCACAUGUUAACAAGGAAAGGCUUGAGGGUCUUGGGCAGCUACCUCCAAGACUAACAUGCCCGAAAGAGGUUUACACGAAUGCCCUAUACAACUUAGAGAUGCUUGACAUGAGGCUUGUUCAGAUGCUUGAGAUGAGGCUUGUUCCGAUGCUUGACAUGAGGCUUGUUCAGAUGCUUGAGAUGAGGCUUGUUCCGAUGCUUGAGAUAAGGCUUGUUCAGAUGCUUGACACGAGGCUUGUUCAUAUGCUUGACAUGAGGCUUGUUCCGAUGCUUGAGAUGAGGCUUGUUCAGAUGCUUGACAUGAGGCUUGUUCAGAUGCUUGAGAUGAGGCUUGUUCAGAUGCUUGACAUGAGGCUUGUUGGAUGCUUGAGAUGA